This 451-nucleotide ribosomal RNA is filed under the name uncultured bacterium. RNAcentral's name for it is "partial 16S ribosomal RNA". It matches the Rfam family "Bacterial small subunit ribosomal RNA", at positions 354 to 796 of the family's 1533-position model. The record is from RNAcentral.
GUGGGGAAUAUUGGACAAUGGGGGGAACCCUGAUCCAGCCAUGCCGCGUGUGUGAAGAAGGCCUUUUGGUUGUAAAGCACUUUAAGCGAGGAGGAGGCUACCGAGAUUAAUACUCUUGGAUAGUGGACGUUACUCGCAGAAUAAGCACCGGCUAACUCUGUGCCAGCAGCCGCGGUAAUACAGAGGGUGCAAGCGUUAAUCGGAUUUACUGGGCGUAACGCGCGCGUAGGUGGCCAUUUAAGUCAAAUGUGAAAUCCCCGAGCUUAACUUGGGAAUUGCAUUCGAUACUGGUUGGCUAGAGUAUGGGAGAGGAUGGUAGAAUUCCAGGUGUAGCGGUGAAAUGCGUAGAUAUCUGGAGGAAUACCGAUGGCGAAGGCAGCCAUCUGGCCUAAUACUGACACUGAGGUGCGAAAGCAUGGGGAGCAAACAGGAUUAGAAACCCCUGUAGUCC